Molecule: transfer RNA, 83 nt
Filed under: Planctomycetota bacterium
Lineage: Bacteria; Pseudomonadati; Planctomycetota
Also listed under: 2 other names
Description: tRNA-Leu
Rfam family: tRNA
About the family: Transfer RNA (tRNA) molecules are approximately 80 nucleotides in length. Their secondary structure includes four short double-helical elements and three loops (D, anti-codon, and T loops).
Source: RNAcentral
GCCGGAGUGGCGGAAUGGCAGACGCGCUGGACUCAAAAUCCAGUGCCCGCAAGGGCGUGUGGGUUCAACUCCCACCUCCGGCA